AUUAACGAAUUGUAGAUGGGGUUUGAUGCUGGCAUGCUAUUCUUUAGCUGCAUGUGCUCGCUCCAAUAUUCAUUAUUCUGAGGGUUUCCAAGUAGAUUGCUGUUUCUUGUGAUCUUUCUUGGAUUCCCUCUUCACAUACACUAUUAAGAAAUAUUGAACGUGCUUGUGCCGAUACGGCCUUAAUAAAAUACAACUUUUAACAACGGAUCUCUUGGCUCUCGCAUCGAUGAAGAACGCAGCGAAAUGCGAUAAGUAAUGUGAAUUGCAGAAUUCAGUGAAUCAUCGAAUCUUUGAACGCAUCUUGCGCUCCCUGGUAUUCCGGGGAGCACGCCUGUUCGAGUGUCGUGAAAUUCUCAAGCUAGAUGCUUUUUUGUAUCUCGGUUUGGUUAUUGGGCUCUGCCGUGUCCUUCAUUGGGACGGCUGGCCUUAAAGGCAUUAGCUGACCCUCAUGAGGCAUUGGUUCUACUCAGCGUGAUAAUAAUCUGACCGCUGAGGACAUCUUUCGGGAUGGCCAAUUCUCGUUUGGGUUGCUCUCUAAUCUGGAUUAUGGGUUGCCAACCAGCAAUCUAUUCCAUUUUCAACUUUGACCUCGAAUCAGGUGGGACUACCCGCUGAACUUAAGCAUAUC
This 628-nucleotide ribosomal RNA is filed under the name uncultured Clavulinaceae. Its description in RNAcentral is "eukaryotic LSU rRNA". The stretch from base 192 to 345 matches the Rfam family "5.8S ribosomal RNA". The record is from RNAcentral. Lineage: Eukaryota; Fungi; Basidiomycota; Agaricomycetes; Cantharellales; Hydnaceae.